GGAGAGCUCCAUCGAACUCUGCGGUUCGGGCUUCUCUGCCUACGAGCUCAGAGGGGAGUUCAGACAUGCUUGUGUCUGGAGGAAGUUCGAGAAUGUGGCCCAGCUUCACUCGAUUUUUUUUCAGCUGUGGGCUUGCUGGAGUCACCCACCUGCCGCUCCUUCGUGGCCUCCUCAUCCUUCAACUUGAAGGCUUCCUCUGCUUG
Molecule: long non-coding RNA, 203 nt
Filed under: Elaeis guineensis (African oil palm)
Lineage: Eukaryota; Viridiplantae; Streptophyta; Magnoliopsida; Arecales; Arecaceae
Description: long non-coding RNA (EGUI_LNC070960)
Source: RNAcentral